GGAAGCGUGGCCGAGUGGUUGAAGGCAACAGUCUUGAAAACUGUCGUACCCGAAAGGGUAUCAGAGGUUCGAAUCCUCUCGCUUCCGCCA
RNAcentral lists this transfer RNA (90 nucleotides) under Candidatus Moraniibacteriota bacterium. Its description in RNAcentral is "tRNA-Ser". It matches the Rfam family "tRNA". Rfam says of the family: Transfer RNA (tRNA) molecules are approximately 80 nucleotides in length. Their secondary structure includes four short double-helical elements and three loops (D, anti-codon, and T loops). Lineage: Bacteria; Candidatus Moraniibacteriota. The record is from RNAcentral.